This 253-nucleotide unclassified non-coding RNA is filed under the name uncultured Gammaproteobacteria bacterium. Its description in RNAcentral is "contains 16S-23S intergenic spacer region". It matches the Rfam family "Bacterial small subunit ribosomal RNA", at positions 524 to 776 of the family's 1533-position model. The record is from RNAcentral. Lineage: Bacteria; Pseudomonadati; Pseudomonadota; Gammaproteobacteria.
UACGGAGGGUGCAAGCGUUAAUCGGAAUUACUGGGCGUAAAGCGAGUGUAGGCGGCUACGUAAGUCGGUUGUGAAAGCCCCGGGCUUAACCUGGGAAUUGCGUUCGAUACUGCGUAGCUAGAGUCUGAUAGAGGGAAGUGGAAUUCCAGGUGUAGCGGUGAAAUGCGUAGAUAUCUGGAGGAACAUCAGUGGCGAAGGCGGCUUCCUGGAUCAAGACUGACGCUCAGGCUCGAAAGCGUGGGUAGCAAACAGG